CGGGGCCUACGGGGGGCAGCAGUGGGGGAUAUUGCACAAUGGGGGGAACCCUGAUGCAGCGACGCCGCGUGGGUGAAGAAGCGCCUCGGCGCGUAAAGCCCUGUCAGCAGGGAAGAAAAUGACGGUACCUGAAGAAGAAGCCCCGGCUAACUACGUGCCAGCAGCCGCGGUAAUACGUAGGGGGCAAGCGUUAUCCGGAUUUACUGGGUGUAAAGGGGGCGCAGACGGCGAUGCAAGCCUGGAGUGAAAGCCCGGGGCCCAACCCCGGGACUGCCCUUGGAACUGCGCGGUCGGAGUGCAGGAGG
Molecule: ribosomal RNA, 305 nt
Filed under: uncultured bacterium
Lineage: Bacteria
Description: partial 16S ribosomal RNA
Rfam family: Bacterial small subunit ribosomal RNA
Source: RNAcentral